This 253-nucleotide ribosomal RNA is filed under the name uncultured bacterium. Its description in RNAcentral is "partial 16S ribosomal RNA". It matches the Rfam family "Bacterial small subunit ribosomal RNA", at positions 524 to 776 of the family's 1533-position model. The record is from RNAcentral.
GACAGAGGGUGCAAACGUUGCUCGGAAUCACUGGGCGUAAAGGGCGUGUAGGCGGGUCGGCAAGUCAGAUGUGAAAUCCCUGGGCUCAACCCAGGAACUGCAUUUGAAACUCCCUUUCUUGAGUGUCGGAGAGGAAAGUGGAAUUCCUGGUGUAGAGGUGAAAUUCGUAGAUAUCAGGAGGAACACCGGUGGCGAAGGCGGCUUUCUGGACGACAACUGACGCUGAGACGCGAAAGCGUGGGGAGCAAACAGG